GUGAAUCAUCGAAUUUUUGAACGCAAAUUGCACUCUCUGGUAUUCCGGAGAGUAUGCCUGUUUGAGGGUCAGUUAAAAUAAAAAGCGGUGUGGUGGCUGCGUUGCGUGGUGACGCACCGGAUGUGGGUCGACUUGCAUUCGGUUAAGUGACCUAAAAUUUUGCAUGAUUGUUGUCGAACGUAGUUAAAUGAGUCUACGUACGUUUGCGAUAUAAAAUACU
RNAcentral lists this unclassified non-coding RNA (220 nucleotides) under Glomus sp. RNAcentral's name for it is "partial contains 5.8S ribosomal RNA and internal transcribed spacer 2". The stretch from base 1 to 71 matches the Rfam family "5.8S ribosomal RNA", at positions 84 to 154 of the family's 154-position model. Lineage: Eukaryota; Fungi; Glomeromycota; Glomeromycetes; Glomerales; Glomeraceae. The record is from RNAcentral.